GUGCUCGCUUUGGCAGCACAUAUGCUAAAAUUGGAACGAUACAGAGAAGAUUAGCAUGGCCCCUGUGCAAGGAUAAGCACUCAAAUUUGUGAAGACUUCCAUAUUUUU
This 108-nucleotide small nuclear RNA is filed under the name Dasypus novemcinctus (nine-banded armadillo). Lineage: Eukaryota; Metazoa; Chordata; Mammalia; Cingulata; Dasypodidae. The record is from RNAcentral.